This 497-nucleotide ribosomal RNA is filed under the name uncultured bacterium. Its description in RNAcentral is "partial 16S ribosomal RNA". It matches the Rfam family "Bacterial small subunit ribosomal RNA", at positions 28 to 507 of the family's 1533-position model. The record is from RNAcentral.
GAUGAACGCUGGCGGCGUGCCUAAUACAUGCAAGUCGAGCGAACAGACGAGGAGCUUGCUCCUCUGACGUUAGCGGCGGACGGGUGAGUAACACGUGGAUAACCUACCUAUAAGACUGGGAUAACUUCGGGAAACCGGAGCUAAUACCGGAUAACAUGUUGAACCGCAUGGUUCAACAGUGAAAGACGGUCUUGCUGUCGCUUAUAGAUGGAUCCGCGCCGCAUUAGCUAGUUGGUAAGGUAACGGCUUACCAAGGCAACGAUGCGUAGCCGACCUGAGAGGGUGAUCGGCCACACUGGAACUGAGGCACGGUCCAGACUCCUACGGGAGGCAGCAGUAGGGAAUCUUCCGCAAUGGGCGAAAGCCUGACGGAGCAACGCCGCGUGAGUGAAGAAGGUCUUCGGAUCGUAAAACUCUGUUAUUAGGGAAGAACAAAUGUGUAAGUAACUAUGCACGUCUUGACGGUACCUAAUCAGAAAGCCACGGCUAACUACGUG